AGAAGAAGAGAUUUGGUGGGAAAGUUAAAUGUGUUUGGCAACUAAUGGCUCCAGUCUUUACACCCUUGUUGGAGAUUAAGGGUUUGCUUGUACAGGAUUUGGUCUGGGUGUAUCUCCAAACUUAUUCCAAAUCAUUAUUAUCACUUUUUAUAUUUAAACGACAUGUUGGUUUUGUGAGCCAAGAACCAACUUCACGUGGCUUUGAGGAACUUUGCUACAGUCAUCUGGUAUCCUGCUGCGAGUCUGGAUGGGAACUAACCUUGAACUGGAUUACUGAUGAAUUGCAUCAUCUGAUAUAGGCAUGGAAUGUACAUUCUGAGAACUGGUGAGAUGGUUUCAGUUUACCUGCUUAAAGUUCAUUGCAGAGGGACUUGUUUGUUUCUGAUAUAUAUGGUAAAUUUUGGUUGUUUGGUUUGUCUCUCCAUUAUUCAAAUGAUAUGGCUCGGUUUAUAGUUCAGAUUGGUUGUGGGAGUAUGUUUGUUGGAUGUCUCAAAAUAAUUCUACAAAGGUAAAAUGCCAUUUGUUUCAAACUAAA
This is a long non-coding RNA of Pygocentrus nattereri (red-bellied piranha), 535 nucleotides long. RefSeq lists it as uncharacterized. The record is from RefSeq and is a predicted model, not a curated record. Lineage: Eukaryota; Metazoa; Chordata; Actinopteri; Characiformes; Serrasalmidae. The transcript is spliced from 2 exons.